ACGUUGAAUCGCCGGUUCUCGUACGGUAAUCAAAGUUAAACAACGUCGAGCCUGUUCAGUAUCUAGAUGGGUGUCCGCUUGGGAAUACCAGGUGCUGUAA
Molecule: non-coding RNA, 100 nt
Organism: Acanthosepion pharaonis
Lineage: Eukaryota; Metazoa; Mollusca; Cephalopoda; Sepiida; Sepiidae
Source: the annotation of a GenBank genome assembly